AGAAGCAGGAGGCUACAGGCUGCUGGUUAUGCUAUUAACUGAAAGCCCCAGAAGUGCAUCCAGUACUAUCUCACAGCCCUUCAAGCUGGUCAACCACCUCUCCAAACAUUAACACCAGUGGCUCUUACUUCAAAGGUCCAAUCUUCAAGCCAAUGCUGGUUACCAAGGAGCGUGGAGGAGCCUUUGCAACGAAAUGCUUUGCUCACAGUCACUGUUCAUAGGACCUUCUGCAGGAAUGUCUGGACCAUUUGAAACAACCCCUGCCCAGAAAUGAUGCUUGGAAGAAAAGAAUUGAAGAUGCUUCAGUGUGAAGUGAACAGAGAUCGUCUUGGUCCAGAAAUCAGCUCUAAUGAUAAUCAGCUAAAUCUUGGCCAAGAAAAAUCAGUCUUUAGACAACUGUCUCAUCAUUAAGAUGAGUUAAUAAUUGUUCUCAAUACAU
Molecule: long non-coding RNA, 439 nt
Organism: Mus musculus (house mouse)
Lineage: Eukaryota; Metazoa; Chordata; Mammalia; Rodentia; Muridae
Product: predicted gene, 31281
Exons: 3
Source: RefSeq, a predicted model, not a curated record